Molecule: non-coding RNA, 1167 nt
Organism: Physcomitrium patens
Lineage: Eukaryota; Viridiplantae; Streptophyta; Bryopsida; Funariales; Funariaceae
Source: RefSeq, a predicted model, not a curated record
GAUAUUAACCCCUGGUGUCUGCGAAUAGCGACUAUCAUUCCGAUUCUAUCGUUUGCAUUCUAAAUUCAACUUUGCGUGUAUAAAGAUACUGUGGCAAGAGGGAGCUUGGACCUUCCGCGGCGAAUUUUGUGUAGAAUAUGAGCUAUUUUAAGUAUAUCUUGGUUGCUUAGAUUGCUGUACAGAGGUUUUUGUGUGUGUGCCUACGAUUGCGGUAGUCAUUGAUUCACGAAACGCCGUUUUGGAGAAUCCUUCAGAUCCUCUCUGAGAGAUUGGUGAUUUGGAAGCGUAGAUGGAGGGCAGAGUAAUAGUGGCUUAAGUCGUUGGAGAAAACAGGGGAGACGUGUUGUUGUAGAUAUUUGUUUCGGAAGAAUAUUGUGUAAAGUAGUUUUGCUGCGAAAUUUGGAAGACAGACAAGUAUCACCAACGAGGAGAAGCGACAUCAAAUUUGUUGUUGGAACGACAAGGACAGCAGGAUGUCUCCCGGAGCGGUGGUGCAGGUGGUCCAAGGUGCGUCGAUUUUGGCCGGCGCGUGGAUGAUCAAAUCAAUCUUGGAUGCUGACGAGCAGAAACCUAUGGCCGGCGGUAGGCAGUGCGCAACUUGUAAUGGAACUCGAAAAGUGCCGUGUAUGUGCACAAGGUGGUCGGACAACGACGUCGGAUGCAGUACAUGUAGCGGCUCCGGGAAGAUGACUUGUAGUAGCUGCGGUGGCUCAGGCACUGGAAGACCGAUCCCUGUACAAAUCCGCGCCUCCAGUAUACCCGAGAACAGGUCUUAAAGGAUGAUCUCGCAUCUUUCUUGACUUCUCUUAGAGUUCCGAAUUCUGAAGGAACGAUUGUGCUUAGCACAUCUUGCAACAUCAUCGUCCUUUACAGCCUACUUUAGGCUUAUUGUAUCUAAAGAAUUAAUUUGUCCAAAUAUGGACGUUCAAGGGGGAUUCGACACCAAUUGGUGCAGAACAAAGCACCAAAGCUGCAGUUCGUACCCCUUGCGCUCGUGUAACAUGCUAGUUUUUGUAGAUCAGCUUCCUAUAGAACGCAGAGACAAUUUUUCCUUUGUUAGUAUGCUAUUUGGUUUGACAAAAUUUACACCAUUUGAGUUACACCGUGUGCUUGUUCUCAGCGUACUUGCUUGUCUUGUAUAUUAAUCUAGGUUGAUGUUGGAUUUCA